RNAcentral lists this ribosomal RNA (547 nucleotides) under uncultured Glomus. RNAcentral's name for it is "SSU rRNA". It matches the Rfam family "Eukaryotic small subunit ribosomal RNA", at positions 548 to 1098 of the family's 1831-position model. The record is from RNAcentral. Lineage: Eukaryota; Fungi; Glomeromycota; Glomeromycetes; Glomerales; Glomeraceae.
UUGGAGGGCAAGUCUGGUGCCAGCAGCCGCGGUAAUUCCAGCUCCAAUAGCGUAUAUUAAAGUUGUUGCAGUUAAAAAGCUCGUAGUUGAACUUCGGGAUCAAUAUGCCGGUCAUGCCUUGGUAUGCACUGGUAUCUUUGAUUUCUCCCUUCUGACGAACUUUGAUGUCAUUAAUUUGGUGUCAUAGGGAAUCAGGACUGUUACUUUGAAAAAAUAGAGUGUUUAAAGCAGGCUCACGCUUGAAUACAUUAGCAUGGAAUAAUGAAAUAGGACGUUUGAUUCUAUUUUGUUGGUUUCUAGGAUCGACGUAAUGAUUAAUAGGGAUAGUUGGGGGCAUUAGUAUUCAAUUGUCAGAGGUGAAAUUCUUGGAUUUAUUGAAGACUAACUACUGCGAAAGCAUUUGCCAAGGAUGUUUUCAUUAAUCAAGAACGAAAGUUAGGGGAUCGAAGACGAUCAGAUACCGUCGUAGUCUUAACCAUAAACUAUGCCGACUAGGGAUCGGAUGAUGUUAAUUUUUUAAUGACUCAUUCGGCACCUUACGGGAAAC